ACUGUUUUGGAGUAGUCUCGAGAGCUUUCGUACGUCUCGUCGGACUUCGUGAAGUGAACCGGUGGAUUGAGCUGUGUCUAAUAGAGCUGCGGCGUAGCCGGUGGCAGGGGUUCGAUGGACAUGAAGGGAUGAUGAAGGGAGAAGUGAGGUGGGGUUGGGGAAGAUAGGAAGAGCGGUGAGGUUUUUGUGGGUGAAAGAGGUGGAGAUGGUGGUUGGUUUGGUGGUGGAGAAGAGCAGGGGACGUUGGGGUGACGGUGGAGGGAGGUAACGCGGUCUGUUGAGUGGUUUUAAGGGGUGCAAUUGGCGAGGUGUUGAGUUGAAGUUCGCGGGCUUGAGGCGUGAAGAAACAGAGCUUGAUAGAGGGUCCAUGGAUAGAGAGAGAAUUA
Molecule: long non-coding RNA, 386 nt
Filed under: Gossypium barbadense (sea-island cotton)
Lineage: Eukaryota; Viridiplantae; Streptophyta; Magnoliopsida; Malvales; Malvaceae
Description: long non-coding RNA (GBAR_LNC021795)
Source: RNAcentral